RNAcentral lists this ribosomal RNA (455 nucleotides) under uncultured bacterium. RNAcentral describes it as "bacterial SSU rRNA". It matches the Rfam family "Bacterial small subunit ribosomal RNA", at positions 1036 to 1498 of the family's 1533-position model. The record is from RNAcentral.
AGGUGCUGCACGGCUGUCGUCAGCUCGUGUCGUGAGAUGUUGGGUUAAGUCCCGCAACGAGCGCAACCCUCGUCACUAGUUACUAACAGUUAGGCUGAGGACUCUAGUGAGACUGCCUUCGUAAGGAGGAGGAAGGUGAGGACGACGUCAAGUCAUCAUGGCCCUUACGGCUAGGGCAACACACGUGCUACAAUGGUUAGGACAGUGAGAAGCGAUACCGCGAGGUGGAGCCAAUCUAUAAACCUAAUCUCAGUUCGGAUUGAAGUCUGCAACUCGACUUCAUGAAGCUGGAAUCGCUAGUAAUCGUAGAUCAGCAAUGCUACGGUGAAUACGUUCCCGGGUCUUGUACUCACCGCCCGUCACACCAUGGGAGUUGAUUUCGCUCGAAGCCGGAAUACUAAAUUAGUUACCGUCCACAGCGGAAUUAGCGACUGGGGUGAAGUCGUAACAAGGUA